UUGGGUGCCGAGGAGGGGAAGAUGCUGUCUGGGCACUGUGGAGUGGAGGAGCAAGGGCUGUUGUUCCCUUCCUGACUCUGUAACACAGACCAGGUACUCAGCAGAAGCAAAUGAUCUCAAAAGCACAUUUGAAGAGCAGCUGACCUUAUGGAAAAGCACCCGAUCCGUGGGGAGCCAUUUCCCCUCAAAGGACUCCACCACCGCCCUUGAGAACUUGUGCUCAUGUUUCACGGGUCCUAAAUAUAUAUAAAACUAGAUAAAAGUUAGCUUUUUCCAAUCUGGGCAUCCUAGCUUUCCUCUUCAUGCCUGAAGUUGUUCCACCCCAGUGAGGACUGGAGAGCUGGUGCCUCCUCAUCCUCCACAUCCCACAGAGAGGACCAGGGCAGACCCAUACGACAUAUAUGCUGGGGAUGGUAAGCAUGGCUUCUGUGGGCAGUGGGGAAGCCCUUUGUAGACUGUUGUCCUCCAGGUCACUCUCAGGGUCCUCCACCUGCACCCCCCAAGCCCUGGGGACCUGCUCAGGGGUGAUGUGGGAGCCCUGGGCUAAGCCCAAUCCUCCCAGCCUCACCAGCAAUCACAACCAGGUGUAAGCAGUCCCUACUUGCCCUGGGAGCUCUGCCAUCCAUCCAGCUUUAAUCCACUUAUGGCUGUGCUAAUUAUGCAUCACUUUCAUUCAACCAAAGUGUCCCCAUGAACCAAAUUAAGUAUCACGCAGGCUCCUCUGAUGUCAAUUCUGUCAUCUUUAGCAACAACACAUCAGGACAGGAGAUGUCAUGGGCUAACCAGACAGUCUCCAUUGCAGUGGAGUUUUAACCCUGCCCCAGCUGAUGCUUGUGGAAGUGCCCGGUGGCUUCAGUGGGCCACUGUGCCCCUGAAAUUGUCCCUGCAUGUUGCUGCUAGUCUGUGGGGAGGGGCACUGUGCAUCACACCUCUGUCCUUCCCAUUACCCUGCCAUAAGAAAAGUGGAAUUUCAGACAGGGAGGUCCUUAAAUAACACACUGACCUUCACUUCUUGGAGAUGCCCUUUGCCCCUGUAGCCCCGGUCUGUCCCUUCCCUAAAUACCCUAAGAUGGGGACAGGUGGGAUAUGGGGAGCUCAUCCCUUCCCUGCAUGUGGCCUGGCCCCUCCAGGGCUGUUGGGUUUGCUGUGAUGCGGAGAAGACCAUCCCAAGUGUAGGUGACAGUCACAUGGAGUCACGGCUGAGCUACUGCAUCCAAACCCUUGGGGUGGGCUGUUCUCCCCACACCACCUCUUCCUAGCCUCCCUGGCUGCCUGGAAAGCUGGCUCCUAUGUGAGCCCUGCCUCUUUGGGAAGCCACCAAGGAGCCAGGCAGGAAGAUGGGCUGCCUUUGGCAUGGGGCUAAAAACUGAGCCCACAGGUAUCCCUGAGGAGCAGAAUAAAAUCCUAGCCGUACUUUUCUUGCUGUCCAUUUGUGCUCCUGGCUAUCUCUAUGCUGCCCAUCACCAGUAGGCACUAGGUGUUAGGUUUUAACCACCACCACCACUAUCCUGGAGUAAUAGGAAGAAUUGAAAUAUGGUUCAAAAAGCAGCCUAAAUCAGUGCUGAGCUCAAACCCAGCUCAUCCCUGCAGUUUCCUGACAUUUACAUUUUCCUGCUUCCCUGCUCCCCUCACAAAGACUGGGAUCUUGGUGGGAAAGGCUGCUGUGCCACAUCCAUGGCCAGGCAGCCCAAAUGCGCCCCACCACCCGGCCCCAGGCAGGGACCGCUCACUCCCAGGCACUCAAGAGCUUUGCCAAAUUCACAGUUUAUGAGUUUGCCCCAUACCAUGGCUGUGCAAAGAACACGAAAAACAACCCUUCCCUUGGCUUAUUGAAGAGGGGCGGCAAAAAAUCCGCUGGCGCUCUCUGGAGCCAUCCAUCAUGACUCCAAAUACACAAGGCAAUUGCUGUAAAACUAGAGUUUGGCUCGGUAAAGGAGUUAAAAAGAAAAACAUGCCAUGCCUGUUGCAAACAACCACAGCACACAAAAAAAAAGCGCCUUACAAGGCUGGGGCAGCCUCAUAGAUGGAUUGCUUUUUAAUCCCCAAAGCUACAGUGAUAAAUCUUUUUAUUGGAGGCUCCAGAGAUACUGUGUCACUCAGGGCAUUCAGCAGCGCAGGGUGAAAACAGCUCCAUAAGCUGCUGGGAGAGGGGAAGUCUUCUGGGUGCAGGACCAGGGGUGAUGGAAGAGGGAUGGGUGCUCGCCAUGGGGGUGCUGAGCAGGGAUGGGGGACAGGAGGGUUCCCCUGGGCCCCAGGAGCGAGUGGUUAGGCAGGAACUGGCUGUUGGACAGACACUGCUGUAAAUCUGGGAGGACAGAUGGACAACUUUUGGGGAACGGCUCUUCGGAAACACAGUGUGUGGAGAGGAGAUGGUGGCAUUGGGCCAAACCCGGCCACGUGCUCCAUGUUGCAGGGGCAGAGAGAUGCUUCGUCCAGCUCCAACUGAAGGCCCGGAGCAAUGGCACCCCCCGGCUCCCAGCUCCACAACGUCCCUCUGCUCUGUCCUCUCUAGACUCUCUUAAGCCCUGAAAGGAUCAUUUAGUUAGUGAGAAUGCCCAGGCAGUGUUUGGGAUCCUCCUUCCCCCACAGCCACCCUGAAGUGCUGGUCAAUCCCCCAGCCAGUUACAUCGGUUGGAGCAGUAGGAACAACUCACCCCAUCCCUGGCUUCUGCUGUGUCCCCCCUGCAGGGCUUUUUGCUUCUAUACCACCUCCCAGGCAGGAGUAAUCCCCCUAAUUGAUACCAGGAAGGUGGCAGGGGACCAGGCCGACCACAAGGGUGCAGAGCAGUGAGGAGCUUCGUCCUGGAAGCAAACAGGCUCUAUAAUUUCCUUCCUGGGGGCUGUAACGAGCCUGAGGCAGGCAGGAGCCAGCAGCCACUGCCUUCCUUGUGACGCAGAGAUGUAAAACCCUCUCAGUGAACCCACUGUCCCCCGGGAGAUCAGUUCCUUUUUCACUAGGUUUCAUGCCCUGGCUGCAGCUGCUACUAAAAUUAAUUGUGG
Strigops habroptila (Kakapo) is the source of this 3000-nucleotide long non-coding RNA. NCBI's taxonomy places the organism in Eukaryota, Metazoa, Chordata, Aves, Psittaciformes, Psittacidae. The record is from Ensembl.